AGAGUCUGAUCCUGGCUCAGAACGAACGCUGGCGGGCGUGGAUAAGACAUGCAAGUCGAACGAGAGAAUUGCUAGCUUGCUAAUAAUUCUCUAGUGGCGCACGGGUGAGUAACACGUGAGUAACCUGCCCCCGAGAGCGGGAUAGCCCUGGGAAACUGGGAUUAAUACCGCAUAGUAUCGAAAGAUUAAAGCAGCAAUGCGCUUGGGGAUGGGCUCGCGGCCUAUUAGUUAGUUGGUGAGGUAACGGCUCACCAAGGCGAUGACGGGUAGCCGGUCUGAGAGGAUGUCCGGCCACACUGGAACUGAGACACGGUCCAGACACCUACGGGUGGCAGCAGUCGAGAAUCAUUCACAAUGGGGGAAACCCUGAUGGUGUGACGCCGCGUGGGGGAAUGAAGGUCUUCGGAUUGUAAACCCCUGUCAUGUGGGAGCAAAUUAAAAAGAUAGUACCACAAGAGGAAGAGACGGCUAACUCUGUGCCAGCAGCCGCGGUAAUACAGAGGUCUCAAGCGUUGUUCGGAAUCACUGGGCGUAAAGCGUGCGUAGGCUGUUUCGUAAGUCGUGUGUGAAAGGCGCGGGCUCAACCCGCGGACGGCACAUGAUACUGCGAGACUAGAGUAAUGGAGGGGGAACCGGAAUUCUCGGUGUAGCAGUGAAAUGCGUAGAUAUCGAGAGGAACACUCGUGGCGAAGGCGGGUUCCUGGACAUUAACUGACGCUGAGGCACGAAGGCCAGGGGAGCGAAAGGGAUUAGAUACCCCUGUAGUCCUGGCAGUAAACGGUGCACGCCUGGUGUGCGGGGAAUCGACCCCCUGCGUGCCGGAGCUAACGCGUUAAGCGUGCCGCCUGGGGGAGACCGUC
Molecule: ribosomal RNA, 860 nt
Filed under: uncultured bacterium
Lineage: Bacteria
Description: bacterial SSU rRNA
Rfam family: Bacterial small subunit ribosomal RNA
Source: RNAcentral